This 640-nucleotide ribosomal RNA is filed under the name uncultured organism. RNAcentral describes it as "bacterial SSU rRNA". It matches the Rfam family "Bacterial small subunit ribosomal RNA", at positions 308 to 962 of the family's 1533-position model. The record is from RNAcentral.
UCACGAUGGAACUGAGACACGGUCCAUACUCCUACGGGAGGCAGCAGUAGGGAAUCUUCCGCAAUGGGCGAAAGCCUGACGGAGCAACACCGCGUGGUUGAUGACGCCCCUUGGGGUGUAAAGACCUUUUCUGAGGGAAGAAUUAUGACGGUACCUUAGGAAUAAGCACCGGCUAAUUACGUGCCAGCAGCCGCGGUAAUACGUAAGGUGCAAGCGUUAUCCGGAAUCAUUGGGCGUAAAGCGUCUGCAGGUUGUUUAUUAAGUCAGACAUUAAAGACGGCAGCUCAACUGUCGGACUGUGCCUGAAACUGGUAAGCUAGAGUCAUACAGAGGUACGUGGAAUUCUGCAUGUAGGGGUAAAAUCCGUUGAUAUGCAGAGGAACACCAAAAGCGAAAGCAGCGUACUGGGUAUGUACUGACACUCAGAGACGAAAGCAUGGGUAGCGAACGGGAUUAGAUACCCCNGGUAGUCCAUGCCGUAAACGAUGAUCACUCGAUGUUAGACUUUUCAAUCGGUCUAGUGUCCAAGCUAACGCGAUAAGUGAUCCGCCUGGGGAGUACGGUCGCAAGAUUAAAACUCAAAGGAAUAGACGGGGACCUACACAAGCAGUGGAGCAUCUGGUUUAAUUCGAUAAUAAGC